Molecule: long non-coding RNA, 825 nt
Organism: Branchiostoma floridae (Florida lancelet)
Lineage: Eukaryota; Metazoa; Chordata; Leptocardii; Amphioxiformes; Branchiostomatidae
Exons: 2
Source: RefSeq, a predicted model, not a curated record
GAGCCGCGGAGCUGACCAGCAAGGGGACCGGCCGGUGACAUCUAGGACAUAGGCGAGAUUCGACAGACCAGCCGGACAGACAACGAAGCCCCGAGGGUCCGACGUCGCGAGGGUCCGACGUCGGAGAGCGCCCAGCCGAGAGGCCUCUGGACAACACGCCCCUUCCCGACGGACAGAGUUUCUGCCGGUUCCUGUUGCAGUGCGCAAGCCAGCCGCCGACGAGAGGGAGGGAGCAGGACAUCAUGGUGCACGUGUUGUCGGACUCAGAAAUUUUGAUUAAUUAUUCUUAACCAAACACCAUGAAAAACGGACUGACAGAUGUUUUGUUAGGCUAAAGUAGCACACCGUUCCUGUCUUGUAUUGUGCCAGUUGUGAUGCAAUGUCGGAAAGAUUUUGUUCACCUCCGUAGAUACCUUGUUAACUUGACUUGUUAGUAGCUUUUAUCUCUCAAAACUUGACUUCCAUGUUAGUAGCUUUUAUCUCUGUAAAAAUAACAUUCGGAGUGUAUCACAACGUUUUAGUUGCUAUAUCAGUACGUGUAGGGAUUAAGCCUCCCUGUUGUUGUUGUUCAAAGCGUAGUAGUACCGUAUAUUGUUAUAUCGCCAGCCGUCUAUAUACAAUGUGGACAUUGUAAAAAGAAAAUGGGGUGAGGUGUCACGAGGCGACUUCGUGACUCAUAAUAAGGACCACAUGUACUAUAAUAAGGACCAGAUGUACGACACGAGGUCCGGGAGAUAGCCGCGUUAGGCGAGGUCAGUCGAGAGAGACCCGAGAAGGAGUAGGUCAGGGAGAGAGGAUCUGGGAAUAAAGUACACCUCAUCGCAA